CCUGCACGUGGCAGCGCCGGUCAUCCCACGCCGCUCCCUUCCCUGCCCGCAGCUCUCCCACACUCGAGGCUAUGGAAUCCUGACUAUUGCACUGGCAAGGGGCCUUUUCAAGAGAAAGCAGGGGGACAGACACUUCAGAGCUGCUGUCCUGCUCCUGACUCCAUGGGCACACCUUUCUGGGGCUGAGUGAUCAUCUAAGUCAACGGAAUGACCAAAUCCCACAUAAUCUGUUUGUUCAAUAACCCGAUCUGGACAAGGAAAAUCAAAGUUUUAGAGCAAACUUUUGGGCACAAUCCAGCCCAAACAUGCAUCAAUAAACCCUUCCCCCUGCUUUUCCUUUCUUGAUGUGCAUUCAGCACUCAGCAGUACCUUAGAAACAUCUCACUAUCUGCCUAUGCUCAAAAGGACAAAAAACAACAACAAAAGGAAAUAUAUAGAGGGAUGACUUAAGAGAGUUUGGAAAUUGCUUCCCAUACGAAACACUCCUUUAGUCACAGGCACAAAAAAACAUCAAAAUUCCCUGCCUCUAAUGUAAACAACAGAAAGAAAAAGUCAUCUGGAAGGACAAGAUGAUUCAUACUGAGGACCUGACUCGUAAUAUUCAUCUGUGUUGAAAUUGCCUCUGCAAGAUGACUGCAUGUGAAAGCAGCACCAGCGAAAUCCCAGCUUCUGCCACGAGAAGUAUCAUUAGCGGCGAAGUGGUGUGGUGAGACUCCAGUGGCACAACCCUUGCUCGGGUGAGUAAUCGUGAGCCAUCCGACCAGUCCCAGCUAAAACAGCACUGUCAUUCAGGUAAAACUGCUUUACGUAAGGGCACCUGCAGCAGACUGGAGCACGCUCAGGCUUUGCAGCCCUCUUCAACUGCAAAAUAGAAGGGUUUUUUCUUGGCCUUGCAAAAAUUCCUGCUGAGGGCUUCCUUAUAAAGAUGCUGCUCAAGCUGAAUGCUUGAGGAAGACUGGAAAAUUUGGCCAGUCUUUUCCUUUAUGUUAAUUGCCCUGAGCCAAGCAGUAACAGGGCAAAAAAGGCCAUGCUGACUUUAUGCAUUGUUAGGAGAUACCUUCCCCUGCACAUUUGAAUCUGUUUACUUAAUCUUCCAGGCCUUUACCCAUGAAUAUUAAAUUCCUUGAUCACUAUGCAUUAGGAGUCAUCUUCACACCAUCUGUUUGUAUUUGUCAUCUAACCCUUGUAAAUAAUAAAAUGUACUUUUUGUUCUCAAGUUCAUGGAUCCUAGCAGGAGAGCAAUUACUGUUGAGGAAAAGUACUGUGUGAAACUACUGGCAGUGACAGGACUCUUCUUUAGCCCCCCAUCUUGCCUCUAUACAGUAAUUAAAUGAAGGCCAGGAUCUGGCCCAAAGAGCGAUGCUUAGCUUCCAUGGUUUCUUUGAAGGGCCAGAAGAGAUGAUGGAGGGCUCUACAUCUCUGAAAGUGAUGCAGGCACUCUUGCCUAUGCUUCUAAAAGAAGGCAAUGUCAGAAGAGAAGGCUGCACUUCAGGGGAGCAGCCUUUCUGAGAGGCAUGCCAACAAGAACUGGCUGCUCUGCUCAGGCAAAAAUGUAACUGGGGUUGGCAGGAAUGGCUGUGGCUGUUUAACGGGGUGGCCUGGGUAGCUGGCCUGGGCAAAUUUCCGAAGAGGUACUGGCAGGGAAGAAACAUCUGAGGAAGAAACAGGUAAAUGAGCAGAUACACAGUGUUUCUCUCACACCUGGGAGUGCCAUUAAAGCAGUGAAAUUGUCACCCAUCAGCUGAGAGGUAAAGUUCAGAGAAGGCUAGGCAAAUAUCAAGGGAAACAGUGAUAAAGUGCAGUUGUUACAAUAUGAAAUUAAUCCUUAGAGGGAGCCCUGCCUGAAAAUGUGAUUAGAUCAUGCAAUGAGAACAGCCUUGACACACAUUACCAAGGUUCAAUUUCAACUUUAUCAGCACAGAUAAAUGUGUGCAUCCCUAGGACAGCAGACCCAUGAGUAAGAAAAAACAUGUGUCAUGGUUGAAGACCUCUGUGGACAACAAAAGCUGGCUGGUGAGCACACCUCAUGGGCACAGUGCCUUGGGGAGCCAGUCAGAGACAUACUUUGCAGCACACUCACGAUGAUUUACAUCCCCUAAGGAUUUGUCUCUCUGUGCUCCUAUAAAUUAUCCUAUACGCCAGGCAACUAUCAAUAAGCACUCAAAUUGUUACCGUCUAGUUAAAACCUAAUGUAGUUGGUUAAAGAAGGGAUCAUUUAGGAGAUUAAAUGGAAUCAUAUUAUUUUUAUCUGACAUGUUGGUAGCAACAAAUUUAGGCAAGAGAAUGGUUGUCAAAUAUUUGUUUAACUGGAAGAGUUAUCUGGGCUUGGACAAGAUACCACUUGCCACUGUGCUCAGCCUUGCAAACAUCCCACACCAGGAGGUUACCAAUUAAGUGAAAGACAAUAUAACUUGUUAAUUGUUAGAGCAUUAUGACCUUAGACUUUGCCCAGGUAUUUAAUAACACCAUCUGCUGUCUAGGUCUGCAAUACUAUUAUUUUUACAUGAGGAUUACUCUUCUUUCUCCACAAAAAAGGUUGCAAUAACAGUGCUAAAUGAGAGCAGAGCAGCAUGGUAUUUAAACCCAACUGUCCAGGUAAAGUAUACAGGAGGUACAGCUCACCCAAAAUAUCCCAGAUGCAUUGUCUUGAAGCUGGAAAUCUUGAUGUGCUGGAGGCUGAGGGCUUGUGAUCCAGCCUUGUGGACUGCACUUGGGAAAAACCUUGUCUUGCCUGAGAACAAGCUGAGAGUGAAAUGCACUCUGGUGCAGGCUGCCAGUCACUUUGCUCUUUCCGUCACUGUUGCUGUUUCCUUCACCAAAACAACAGCAAUGGUCCAAAGGCCACCAUUUGGGAAUCACUGUGCCUUCAGAUCUUUUUCUCUUUGAUAACAUGUUUUUAAAGCAUGUGCAUUUAACAUCAAAUAAUCACAUUUAUCAGGUUUUCCAAUCCUCUUCUUGCUGAUAGUGAUGUGAUUUUUUGCUUUGGCUUCUUAGGGAAUUUAGGGGAGGGAAGAAAAGAGUGAAUUUCUCUCAGCUGGUGUCUUCUGGCCGGUGUUUCCAUGGGAUUUCAUGUAAAGCCAUUCCCAGUGCACUGGAAACCUGAACCUACUGGAUUCGGUGACAAAAGUCCUAACAACUGAGAUGAGCCAGUUUCUCACUCUGGAAUGUUGUAAUUUUUGUGCAAAUAGUCUUUUCCUCCAAAUAAAGAGAAGCUGAAACCUGGUAGCUGGUGAGCUGCCAGAUGAAGGAGGAAGCAUUAGAGGUGUGAACACCAAAGUGCUCCAAAAAACAAGGCCAAGAGAAAGAGCCCAGAGUAUACUUUAAAUUUAAAAGUGCACAUUUGUAAUGUUUUGGGUUUUUUAAAUGUUUUUAUUUUGCUUACUGCUUAUUGGUGUAUGUUUGAGGAAUAAAACAAUCAUGAAUCCUCCACA
Long non-coding RNA from Corvus hawaiiensis (hawaiian crow), 3431 nucleotides. RefSeq lists it as uncharacterized. The transcript has 2 exons. NCBI's taxonomy places the organism in Eukaryota, Metazoa, Chordata, Aves, Passeriformes, Corvidae. The record is from RefSeq and is a predicted model, not a curated record.